AGAGAGAAUGGUGUAGAGAGCGAGGAAAAGAGUUGUGAAGAGGUAUACCAGAGAAAAACAGAGGAGCUUGGAUUGGAAGAUUAGAGGUUUGGUAGUGGUAAAGCCAUUUUUUAUGUGUUUUGAUGUGAGAAUGCAGACAGUAACUUGUGUCUUUGCUAGCUGCAAGCCUUCCAGGCAAUGCUACUUUCUUCUUGACCUAUGUGGCUCUCAAAUUUUUUUGUUGGCUAUGGUCUUGAGCUGUCCCGGUUAGUUCCUCUUAUUUUAUUCCAUUUGAAGAAAAAGUAUCUUUGCAAGACUGAUGCGGAGGUGAAAGAGGCUUGGGCUCCUAGAGAUCUUGGUUAUAGGACUAGAGUUCCUGGUGACAUGCUCAUCGUCACAAUCGUUUUCUGCUAUUCUGUGAUUGCUCCUCUGAUAGUCCCAUUUGGUGCUCUAUAUUUUGGCCUCAGAUGGCUUAUACUAAGAAAUCAGGUGAAGUUCUCAUGAUUCUAUUUACCCAUCCAGGAUAUUAAUUGAUCUGUGUCAUUUUAAUAGCUUGAAAUCUCAUGAAUGAGUAGUGUCUUUU
Arachis ipaensis is the source of this 562-nucleotide non-coding RNA. NCBI's taxonomy places the organism in Eukaryota, Viridiplantae, Streptophyta, Magnoliopsida, Fabales, Fabaceae. The record is from RefSeq and is a predicted model, not a curated record.